AACGUAGGAGACAAACGUUAUCCGGAGUUACUGGGCGUAAAGGGCGUGUAGGCGGUUGACUAAGUCUGGCGUGAAAGCUCGCGGCUAAACCGCGAGAGGUCGUUGGAUACUGGUUGACUAGAGGACGGUAGAGGCGUGUGGAAUUCCGGGUGUAGUGGUGAAAUGCGUAGAGAUCCGGAGGAACACCAGUGGCGAAGGCGACACGCUGGGCCGUACCUGACGCUAAAACGCGACAGCAUGGGGAGCGAACGGG
This 253-nucleotide ribosomal RNA is filed under the name uncultured bacterium. RNAcentral's name for it is "partial 16S ribosomal RNA". It matches the Rfam family "Bacterial small subunit ribosomal RNA", at positions 524 to 776 of the family's 1533-position model. The record is from RNAcentral.